This 122-nucleotide non-coding RNA is filed under the name Karenia brevis. The record is from RNAcentral. Lineage: Eukaryota; Dinophyceae; Gymnodiniales; Kareniaceae.
GUCGCAGGAGUUUGCACGCUUUUGGGCAGCCCACUGCGAGGACAAAUUUGGUGGAAGAAGUGCAAUAGUGAAGGCAGUUGCACCUUCGCUCCAUGGCAUGGAGGUUGCGAAGCUGGCAUUAC